CCCUCACUUUCUCUCUCCACCACUAUCAAGGUCACCGCUUCUGCGGCUUACGGAGGACAAGAGGCGGUAAAGCAGCCUCGGAUGUCAGUGAAAGGUGCUCCAGCCCGGCUCCCAUCUUCACCUGGCCUGACAGCUCCCCACGUUCUCAGACCCUUUUGGACAAUUUCGACACCGUGUCCAUCUGGUUCUGAUUAAGUCCCAACCGGCCUGCUUCGCAUCCAGAGUGAAGAGGCGAGACGGGCGAGAGAGAAGAAAGAGAGAAAGACGGCAAGAUGGGAACGAGGAAGAAACGGCAAGAGCCAAAACGACAACAAAGUGGGAUCGAAGAGAGAUCCGUAACUGAUGCCCGACCUGGGCGUCAUUACUGAAACACAGGAUUGUUACUUCAAUAGCCCAGCCAUGGCCAAAAGACAUUAUUUGGAGUGAGCAUCCAGCUUGUAGCUGGCGUUUAUUAGCCUCUCUUCUGGCACCUGCUCCCACACAACACAUGCCAGCGGUCUUCCUCGCCCUCAUUCUGCCUCUCGCCAUCAAACUAAUGACCGUGGUUAAAAGAAUAGUUCAUUCAAAAAUGAAAAUGUCACCAUUUAUUCAACCUCGUCUCAUUUCCACACAAUUCGUCUUAUUUCUUUGUCAACAGACAUUUAGGUCAUUUUUUUUUCCAAGUAUUAAUUUAUUUCCAAACAAUAAAUUAAAUAAAUAAAUAAAAGAGAAAAAAAUUUACUGUGUUACAUAAUAUUGCAGGUAACAAUUGCAGGUCACCACUUUUGCAGUGUGAACACUGAAUUUGGGUUUGAAGUGAACCUUGGCAGUGAUCAUUUAGUCAGUCUCCCCAAAUCCUAACCCAAAUACUGCCCUAAGUAAAACCCAUUGACAGCAUCUGGCCAAGUCUCACCAAAACAACCUUCACUUCCAUAUCACACUGAUUACAUUACCUUCUCACAGAAAACAUCAGUGGAGACAGCAUACCAGUGUUUAUUUUUAGGUAAAGGGGGGUAACGUGCAUGUGUGUGUGAUGGGACGGACGUGUCAUGGUGUGUGUGACCCUGUGGAGACCCUAUGCCUCAUCAGACGAUGAAACACACCUACACGGAUCGGCCUUUUCUCUUGAAGAGGCUUCUCUGUAAAAAACAAAAACAAAAAAACAACUAUUGUUAUUAAUAAAAAACAGAUGUGGACAUGGACAACCGCAGUCCAGCACUCAACAUGUGCCUCAGAUUCUCACAAUCAAGGAAUACAUAUACAGAUUAAUAAAACAGUAACACACUGAAUAGACUAUAUGAAAAAGAUCCUUCAGCACCUUUAUACCCAACUGAUAAAAUAACAAUUUUACGCAUAGCUGUAUAUUGAAAUUCAAGAAAUUAAUAACUCAUUAAAUUUCAGAAAAUUAAUACUAUCAUGAAAAUGCACCCCCCCCCAUAAUAAUAAUAAAAAAAAAGAAAAACACAAUGAUAAUUUUAUAAUUCACAUGUGCAGAUUAUAGAGAGUAUAUUAUAUGUGAGCGUUUAUUUGCUGUUUGGGACUCACUCUGGAAAUCUGUGGAAUAACAAUUUCAUUAAAAUCCAGACCGGAUGGAUAAAUCAUUAUUGUCUUUAAUGUCUGCUAACAUAUUCAAACAGGCUUCUCUGUCCUAAAGUCUCCCCAUCUGUGUGUGCGUGUCAUAUUCAAAUCACCAUAAUCUACUUUGCUGCGUAUGCUGCAUCUGGAAAUGAUAAUUAAUGGCAUUGUUUAAAACCAGAUUUUUGCAUCCUUGAUAAAUGAAUAGAUUGCUAAUGGUAUCAUUUGAA
Molecule: long non-coding RNA, 1784 nt
Organism: Carassius auratus (goldfish)
Lineage: Eukaryota; Metazoa; Chordata; Actinopteri; Cypriniformes; Cyprinidae
Exons: 2
Source: RefSeq, a predicted model, not a curated record